GAGUUGAGCGAGGGAAACAGGUAUCUUCAAUUACAGCUAUGGCGUCUACCAAAUCCUCUCCUCUAAGCUUUCCCCUGUUUUUAACAUUGAUAAUUCUAUUUCCUGCAAAUUAAGGCAAGGAGAUGCAGUUUUGGUAGAAAAUUUGGACGAAUCUAAGUUCCUGGCUGCUUAUAGCGCCGAUAUAGACUACAAAGCUGUAGCAACGACUGCUGAGUUCAAAUUGUCCUUGAAUUUUUACCUAAAAGAGCUUGUGGUAUCUCCAGUUCGAUCCUUGAAAGAUAUCAUUGCAUUCAACAAUAAAUUUUCAGAUUUGGAAAAAACACAAGGAAUAUAGGCAACAGCUUUUCCUUGACGCUGAAGCUACGAAUAGCAUCGGCAAGAAAGAGAAGGACGCAAUAUUACAUUUAGAAAAAAUGUGAAGAGAUGGAAUCGAGAAGUUGAUGAGGGAGAACAACUAGACGCGUUGUUGUCACCUUUUCCAUCAGCUUCGCCUGGUCUGGCAAUAGGUGGAUCCAGGAAUCAUUGUCUUGUCCCCGCAGGAUAUGAUACAAUGGGGUGCCUUUUGGCAUUUGCUUUGCAGGACUAAAGGGCUCAGAGCCAACGCUGAUUGAGAUUGCAUAUGCCUUCGAGCAAGCCACUAAGAUUAGGAGGCCCCCUUCGUUCAAGCACUGAAGCCAUCACUGAUAGAUUCAGGCCGUAGGGCCAUCCAUACGAUUUUUGGUUUAUUAGAUGUUUCAUCCUCGUAGCUUUCAGAAUUGACCAUGUUUAAUGGUUGAUGUACUCUAAGUUUAUGUAGUGUUAUAUAAAUAAUCAGGUACUUUCUUUUUUU
Theobroma cacao (cacao) is the source of this 829-nucleotide non-coding RNA. NCBI's taxonomy places the organism in Eukaryota, Viridiplantae, Streptophyta, Magnoliopsida, Malvales, Malvaceae. The record is from RefSeq and is a predicted model, not a curated record.